Molecule: ribosomal RNA, 451 nt
Filed under: uncultured bacterium
Lineage: Bacteria
Description: bacterial SSU rRNA
Rfam family: Bacterial small subunit ribosomal RNA
Source: RNAcentral
CCUACGGGGGGCUGCAGUGGGGAAUAUUGCGCAAUGGGCGAAAGCCUGACGCAGCAACGCCGCGUGAGUGAUGAAGGCCUUCGGGUUGUAAAGCUCUUUCGGUUGGGAAGAAGGGUGUGCGGGCUAAUAUCCUGUACAUUUGAUGGUACCAAAAGAAGAAGCACCGGCUAACUUCGUGCCAGCAGCCGCGGUAAUACGAAGGGUGCGAGCGUUGUUCGGAAUGACUGGGCGUAAAGGGUUCGUAGGCGGGAGUGCAAGUCAAGUGUGAAAUCCCCAGGCUCAACCUGGGACGUGCACUUGAAACUGCAUUUCUUGAGUCGAGGAGAGGGUAAUGGAAUUGCUGGUGUAGGAGUGACAUCCGUAGAGAUCAGCAGGAACACCGGAGGCGAAGGCGAUUACCUGGCCGAAGACUGACGCUGAGGAACGAAAGCGUGGGGAGCAAACAGGAUUA